This 253-nucleotide ribosomal RNA is filed under the name uncultured bacterium. RNAcentral describes it as "partial 16S ribosomal RNA". It matches the Rfam family "Bacterial small subunit ribosomal RNA", at positions 524 to 776 of the family's 1533-position model. The record is from RNAcentral.
UACGGAGGGUGCGAGCGUUGUCCGGAAUCACUGGGCGUAAAGGGCGCGUAGGUGGCGCGGAAAGUCAACGGUGAAAGCUUGGGGCUCAACCCCGAGUCGGCCGUCGAUACUUCUGGGCUUGAGCACUGUAGAGGCAGGUGGAAUUCCGGGUGUAGCGGUGGAAUGCGUAGAGAUCAGGAGGAACACCGGUGGCGAAGGCGGGUCUCUGGGCAGUAACUGACGCUGAGGAGCGAAAGCGUGGGGAGCGAACAGG